GAUGAACGCUGGCGGCGUGCCUAAUACAUGCAAGUCGAGCGAACGGACGGGAAGCUUGCUUCUCUGAUGUUAGCGGCGGACGGGUGAGUAACACGUGGAUAACCUACCUAUAAGACUGGGAUAACUUCGGGAAACCGGAGCUAAUACCGGAUGAUAUUUUGAACCGCAUGGUUCAAAAGUGAAAGACGGUCUUGCUGUCACUUAUAGAUGGAUCCGCGCUGCAUUAGCUAGUUGGUAAGGUAACGGCUUACCAAGGCAACGAUGCAUAGCCGACCUGAGAGGGUGAUCGGCCACACUGGAACUGAGACACGGUCCAGACUCCUACGGGAGGCAGCAGUAGGGAAUCUUCCGCAAUGGGCGAAAGCCUGACGGAGCAACGCCGCGUGAGUGAUGAAGGUCUUCGGAUCGUAAAACUCUGUUAUUAGGGAAGAACAUAUGUGCAAGUAACUGUGCACAUCUUGACGGUACCUAAUCAGAAAGCCACGGCUAACUACGUG
This 497-nucleotide ribosomal RNA is filed under the name uncultured bacterium. RNAcentral's name for it is "partial 16S ribosomal RNA". It matches the Rfam family "Bacterial small subunit ribosomal RNA", at positions 28 to 507 of the family's 1533-position model. The record is from RNAcentral.